GACGAACGCUGGCGGCAUGCCUAAUACAUGCAAGUCGAACGCUAGAGCACUCUUCUUUCAGAGUGCGGGAGAGUGGCGAACGGGUGAGUACCACGUGGGAAUUCUGCCUGUAAGAGGGGGAUAGCAUACGGAAACGGAUGCUAAUACCUCAUAUAUUCUUGGACCGCCUGGUCCUUGAAAUAAAGGCGGCUUUGCUGUCGCUUAUAGAUGCUCCCGCGACGUAUUCGUUAGUUGGGGGGGUAAAGGCCUACCAAGACAAUGAUACGUAGCCAACCGGAGGGGGGGGUCUGCCACACCGGGAUGGUGACACGGCACAGACUCGAACGGGAGGCAGCAGAAGAGAAUGUACCACAAGUGGCGAAAGCCGGAUGUAACAAUGCCGAGUGAAGGAAGAAGGUCUUCGGAUAGGAAAGUUCUGCUACUAGAGAAGAACAAGUCAAGGAGUAACGGGUGAGACUUUGAAGGUACCGAAUCAGAAAGUAACGGCUAACUACGUG
Molecule: ribosomal RNA, 497 nt
Filed under: uncultured bacterium
Lineage: Bacteria
Description: partial 16S ribosomal RNA
Rfam family: Bacterial small subunit ribosomal RNA
Source: RNAcentral